This 468-nucleotide ribosomal RNA is filed under the name uncultured bacterium. RNAcentral describes it as "partial 16S ribosomal RNA". It matches the Rfam family "Bacterial small subunit ribosomal RNA", at positions 28 to 507 of the family's 1533-position model. The record is from RNAcentral.
GACGAACGCUGGCGGCGUGCCUAAUACAUGCAAGUCGAACGAACAGGCCCUGCUCUUGUGGGGUGCUCGUGUGGCGAACGGGUGUGUAACACGCGAGUAUCCUCCCCCUGUCUUUGUGAUAUCUCCAGGAAACUGCGGCUAUUACAGGAUAGAAGCUCUUGAUGCAUGGUGGGCGUUGGAGAGUUUCGGCGGUUCGGGAUGGACUCGCAGCUUAUCAGCUUCUUGGUGAGGUAGUGGCUUACCAAGGCUACGACGGGUAGCCGGCCUUAGAGGGUGACCAGGGACAAUAGGACUGAGAGACGGAGCAGACGCCUACGGGAGGCAGCAGUGGAGAGUAUUGCACAAUGAGCCGACGCCUGAUACAGCAACGCCGGGUGCGGAAUGCUGUGUUACGGGGUAUAAACCGCUUUCGACUGAAACGAAGCGUGAGUGACGGUAAUGAGUAAGAAAGCACCGGCUAACUACGUG